RNAcentral lists this ribosomal RNA (578 nucleotides) under uncultured Serratia sp. Its description in RNAcentral is "bacterial SSU rRNA". It matches the Rfam family "Bacterial small subunit ribosomal RNA", at positions 102 to 676 of the family's 1533-position model. The record is from RNAcentral. Lineage: Bacteria; Pseudomonadati; Pseudomonadota; Gammaproteobacteria; Enterobacterales; Yersiniaceae.
ACGGGUGAGUAAUGUCUGGGAAACUGCCUGAUGGAGGGGGAUAACUACUGGAAACGGUAGCUAAUACCGCAUAACGUCGCAAGACCAAAGAGGGGGACCUUCGGGCCUCUUGCCAUCAGAUGUGCCCAGAUGGGAUUAGCUAGUAGGUGGGGUAAUGGCUCACCUAGGCGACGAUCCCUAGCUGGUCUGAGAGGAUGACCAGCCACACUGGAACUGAGACACGGUCCAGACUCCUACGGGAGGCAGCAGUGGGGAAUAUUGCACAAUGGGCGCAAGCCUGAUGCAGCCAUGCCGCGUGUGUGAAGAAGGCCUUCGGGUUGUAAAGCACUUUCAGCGAGGAGGAAGGUGGUGAGCUUAAUACGCUCAUCAAUUGACGUUACUCGCAGAAGAAGCACCGGCUAACUCCGUGCCAGCAGCCGCGGUAAUACGGAGGGUGCAAGCGUUAAUCGGAAUUACUGGGCGUAAAGCGCACGCAGGCGGUUUGUUAAGUCAGAUGUGAAAUCCCCGGGCUCAACCUGGGAACUGCAUUUGAAACUGGCAAGCUAGAGUCUCGUAGAGGGGGGUAGAAUUCCAGGUGU